Molecule: ribosomal RNA, 456 nt
Filed under: uncultured bacterium
Lineage: Bacteria
Description: bacterial SSU rRNA
Rfam family: Bacterial small subunit ribosomal RNA
Source: RNAcentral
UACGGAAGGCAGCAGUGGGGAAUAAUUGCACAAUGGGCGCAAGCCUGAUGCAGCCAUGCCGCGUGUAUGAAGAAGGCCUUCGGGUUGUAAAGUACUUUCAGUCGUGAGGAAGGUGUUAAGGUUAAUAACCUUAGCAAUUGACGUUAGCGACAGAAGAAGCACCGGCUAACUCCGUGCCAGCAGCCGCGGUAAUACGGAGGGUGCGAGCGUUAAUCGGAAUUACUGGGCGUAAAGGGCACGCAGGCGGUUAAUUAAGUUGGAUGUGAAAUCCCCGGGCUUAACCUGGGAAUGGCAUUCAAGACUGGUUAGCUAGAGUCUUGUAGAGGGGGUAGAAUUCCGAUGUGUAGCGGUGAAAUGCGUAGAGAUGUGGAGGAAUACCGGUGGCGAAGGCGGCCCCUGGACAAAGACUGACGCUCAUGGUGCGAAAGCGUGGGGAGCAAACAGGGAUUAGAUACC